RNAcentral lists this ribosomal RNA (497 nucleotides) under uncultured bacterium. RNAcentral describes it as "partial 16S ribosomal RNA". It matches the Rfam family "Bacterial small subunit ribosomal RNA", at positions 28 to 507 of the family's 1533-position model. The record is from RNAcentral.
GAUGAACGCUGGCGGCGUGCCUAAUACAUGCAAGUCGAGCGAACGGACGAGAGGCUUGCUUUUCUGAUGUUAGCGGCGGACGGGUGAGUAACACGUGGAUAACCUACCUAUAAGACUGGGAUAACUUCGGGAAACCGGAGCUAAUACCGGAUAAUAUUUUGAACCGCAUGGUUCAAAAGUGAAAGACGGUCUUGCUGUCACUUAUAGAUGGAUCCGCGCUGCAUUAGCUAGUUGGUAAGGUAACGGCUUACCAAGGCAACGAUGCAUAGCCGAACUGAGAGGGUGAUCGGCCACACUGGAACUGAGACCCGGUCCAGACUCCUACGGGAGGCAGCAGUAGGGAAUCUUCCGCAAUGGGCGAAAGCCUGACGGAGCAACGCCGCGUGAGUGAUGAAGGUCGUCGGAUCGUAAAACUCUGUUAUUAGGGAAGAACAUAUGUGUAAGUAACUGUGCACAUCUUGACGGUACCUAAUCAGAAAGCCACGGCUAACUACGUG